UACAGAGGAUGCGAGCGUUGUUCGGAAUUACUGGGCGUAAAGCGCGCGCAGGCGGCUCUUUAAGUCUGACGGUGAAAUGCCGGGGCUCAACCCCGUGCCCGCCGCGGAUACUGGAGGGCUGGAGACACGUAGAGGCAAGCGGAAUUCCGGGUGUAGCGGUGGAAUGCGUAGAGAUCCGGAAGAACACCGGAGGCGAAGGCGGCUUGCUGGGCGUAGUCUGACGCUGAGGCGCGAAAGCGUGGGGAGCGAACAGG
Molecule: ribosomal RNA, 254 nt
Filed under: uncultured bacterium
Lineage: Bacteria
Description: partial 16S ribosomal RNA
Rfam family: Bacterial small subunit ribosomal RNA
Source: RNAcentral